This is a non-coding RNA of Camelina sativa (false flax), 3472 nucleotides long. Lineage: Eukaryota; Viridiplantae; Streptophyta; Magnoliopsida; Brassicales; Brassicaceae. The record is from RefSeq and is a predicted model, not a curated record.
UGGAGAUAUAUGGGGGUUCACUCUUUCUUCCUAUUAACAAUAUUAGGGAUGAUUCUGCAUUAUAUGGGGGUUCACUCUUCUUAUUAUGUAAACGAGUGUUUAAUACUUAGCUAGGACUACCAAUCUGAGUUAUCAAAAUCAAAGCCAUCACAAGGGAAAAGCUAGAUGAUGGAAAAUCAUGACAGGUGAGUCAGUUAUUGUUUCAAAAUCAGCAAGCUCUUCACUCCACAACUCCAGCUUUUGCCUGCACCACAAAGAAGUACACUACGUCUGCCAUAAUUCAAGGGAAACAGAGCUAGCUAUACCAAACUGAUUCAGGAAAAUAGAGCUCUCAAAAGGCAAAAGCUAGAUGAUGCAAAAUCAAGACAGUUUUAUCCUCCAACCAAGCAUUGUUGAUGAGUAAUAUCUGGUAAGUACUGGUUUUCGUGUCUUUGUUGAUGAUCAGAAGAGGACGUUGUUUUCAUGGCAUUUCUUCAAAGAUUCUGUGAAACAGCUCUCUACAAAAAUAACUUAUCAGCGGGGAGAAGAAGCUCAAUCGUUGACCCCAAGACUCUGUGCUAUUCGAGUAAGUCAGGCAAGUUGUUCCAUUACUCACAAUCACAAAAGGGUUAGGGUUAAUAACUUAGCUAGCACUUCCAGUCUCUUUUAUAAAAUCAUCAAAGCCAUCACAAGGCGACGAAAGAGAGAGAUAGACCCAAAACAAGUCAGAGGACGGUGAUCAGUGGUUUGAUUGAGCUGUCAUGGUGCGUCUCUGGAGGUCUAGCACUUUGAGCCCAAUUGAUCUCUUUAUCUAUCCUCGUCUUCUUAGCUUCUAUCAUGUUGUUAGUCGAAGCUUUAAAAUGCCAAUGAUAAGAGACUGCUUCUGCCCCGAGCUUCCUGCUAGUUCCAAUUCUUACAUGACAAGUGAUCCUGGUGUUGUGAACUACUUCAAUUUUUUGGUAGAGUGAUGAAGCCCAAUCGUCAAGUCAGGCGAGUCAGACUCAUUCUCACAAUAACUCAAUACAUUCGUUUCAAUUUCACAUCCAUAUGAGAGACUGAAAACUUUAUCUAUCUCCCUCAACCAAUGAUCCCUUUUGUUUCUUUUUUUUUUUUUUUUUGAACAACAAUGUACUACACAAGUGGAAUCUCGGCGACAAGGCACCAGAAUUCAGAGCAAAACCCUUGAUUUUACUGAGCUAAAUGGAGUCCAGAAGCAGGUUUGCUUAAAAAGCUUGAAGCUAAGUAUAAGAUUGGAGAUUUGCUAUGGGUUUGAAGAAUGAAUAAGAUUCAGAACCAAAAAGAUAAAACAUCAAACUGAUUCUUGUAGUUAUAGGUGUCUUUGACUCAAUACAUCUUCCGUUCUCGUCCAUUUCGCUUUCCCAAUCUUUGAAUACUCGAAGAGCAGGACCUCUUAAGAGAGCUAAAUGGUGUCAUGAAGCAGGUUUUCAUAAAGUGGAUGUGUUUGAAAAGCUUGAAGCUAAGCGUAAGGCUGAAGGAAAGGAAGAGAAAGAAAGAGAAGAUGAUGAAGAAGUUGAUGAAUCAGGGGAGAAGAAUCUGACUACGAAGAUUAUUAUUAGGUGUGUGUACGUGUUUUCCAACCAAGACGAUGAUUUGAAGGAUGAAGAAGGUUCAUAGUAAAGCAAUGAGAUAAUGCUCUUUUCAGAGCUGUUGGAUGGUUCGUGCGGCUCUUGAAGUGUUUGUCAAUUUUAAGACAGAUAACAGUGUUACCAAAAGUGACGAGAGAGUAAACAGGCCUGAACAAGUCAGAGGUUGAUCACAUUGCUUGUGUUGUUUUUGAUUUUGGGAAGUAAAGGUGCGGUAAACUUCGUUCAGUUGACAAGGCUACUACUAUCUUGGAGGUAGAUUCUUGAUAACUGCCGGAGGUUCUCCCAAUUGCCUAAAAUGUGCCUCAGCUAGCUGGAUCUUUGGAAGGUCUUUGUGUUCUUGUUCCAGCCAGGACGGACGAUGCUUUCUUGACUCAGAACACAAAAACGGUCGCCGGCGUGUUCUUACAAUACUAACAUCAUCAAACUGAUCGAAUUGAAAGAUCGGAGAUAUGCUAUGGUUUGAAGAAUGAAGAAAGAUUCUGAACCAAACAAAAACAAAACCUUCGCCUUGCGGAUCGUUCUCUUCUCUACUCUCAGGAUCGUUAUAUAUCUUAUCACCUUCUCUUCUCUACUCUCAGGAUCCAAGCAUUCUUGAUGAAUAAUAUCUGGUGGAAGUUUAUUUUUUUGUGUCUUUGAGAGUGAUGGAUGUUCAGAGGACAUGGCGUUGCUUCUUUGACGAGAAACUCCACAACAAUAAAAAAGAUUCUGUGAAACAUCUCUCCACAUAAAACAACUCAUCACCGGAGGAGAGAAGAAGCUCAGUCGUCGACGCAAAGAUCCAUUGCUUUUACAUUACUCAACAAAAUCACUCAGUACAUGCGAUUCAGUAGUUCCCCAUCCAUAAGUGAGACUGAGACUUUUUUAGUUUUGUUGUUUGCUGCUUCUCUAGAUGAUGGAGAUAUAUGGGGGUUCACUCUUCUGUAAGUCAUCUCAAAAUUCUCUGCUUUUCGACAAGGCACCAGAACUGACUCAAGCCAAAGGCAGUAAUCAGAAAAUUGCAUAAAGGUAAACGAGUGUACUUAGCUAGCACUACCAAUCUGAGUUAUCAAAAUCAAAGCCAUCACAAGGGAGAAGCUAGAUGAUGGAAAAUCAUGACAGGUGAGUCAGUUAUUGUUUCAAAAUCAGCAAGCUCUUCACUCCACAACUCCAGCUUUUGCCUGCACCACAAAGAAGUACACCACGUCUGCCAUAAUUCAAGUGAAACAUAGCUACCUCUACCAAACUGAUUCAGGAAAAUAGAGCUCUCAAAAGGCAAAAGCUAGAUGAUGCAAAAUUAAGACAGGAGGGACGAUGAUUUCUUGACUCAGAUUGUUUCAAGGAUGAAGUAGUUUUAGAACGCAAAAACGGUCGCCGGCGUGUUUUUACAGUAAAACAACAUCAAACUUGAUUAAAAGGGAAAGUGUUAAAAACGUAGCUAGCAUUACCAAUCUGAUUCAGCAAAGGCGGCAAGAGAGCAAAACAAGUCAGAGGUCUGUGUCUGUGAUCGUGUUCCAACCAGGACCAUGACUCAGAUUUUUUCAAGUACAAAAACGGUCGCCGGCGUGUUAUUACAAUAUAGAUUGGAUAUAUGCUUUGGUUUGAAGAUUGAAGAAGAUUCUGAACCAAACAAAAGCAAACCUUCGCCCAACGGUAACAGCGUCAAACAUAGAGGCAAUAUAUAUAUGGUUCACUCUUUAUAUAUAUAUGAUGAGUAAUAACAUCUGGUGGAAGUAUUUGUUUUCGAGACGUUGUUUUCGUGGUAUUUCUUCAACUCUCAUCUGUUUGGCCAGAAACUCCACAACGACAAAAAGAUUCUGUGAAACAUCUUUCCACAUAAACAACUCAUCACCGGAGGAGAGAAGAAGCUCAGUCGUCGACGCAAAGACUCUAUUACUUUUUCCGAACAA